ACUCCUACGGGAGGCAGCAGUGGGGAAUUUUGGACAAUGGGCGAAAGCCUGAUCCAGCCAUGCCGCGUGCAGGAUGAAGGCCUUCGGGUUGUAAACUGCUUUUGUACGGAACGAAACGGCCUUUUCUAAUAAAGAGGGCUAAUGACGGUACCGUAAGAAUAAGCACCGGCUAACUACGUGCCAGCAGCCGCGGUAAUACGUAGGGUGCAAGCGUUAAUCGGAAUUACUGGGCGUAAAGCGUGCGCAGGCGGUUAUGUAAGACAGUUGUGAAAUCCCCGGGCUCAACCUGGGAACUGCAUCUGUGACUGCAUAGCUAGAGUACGGUAGAGGGGGAUGGAAUUCCGCGUGUAGCAGUGAAAUGCGUAGAUAUGCGGAGGAACACCGAUGGCGAAGGCAAUCCCCUGGACCUGUACUGACGCUCAUGCACGAAAGCGUGGGGAGCAAACAGGAUUAGAUACCCCAGUAGUCCC
RNAcentral lists this ribosomal RNA (470 nucleotides) under uncultured organism. RNAcentral's name for it is "partial 16S ribosomal RNA". It matches the Rfam family "Bacterial small subunit ribosomal RNA", at positions 335 to 797 of the family's 1533-position model. The record is from RNAcentral.